GAUGAAGAACGCAGCGAAAUGCGAUACUUGGUGUGAAUUGCAGAAUCCCGUGAACCAUCGAGUCUUUGAACGCAAGUUGCGCCUCAAGCCAUAAGGUUGAGGGCACGUCUGCCUGGGCGUCACAUAUCGUUGCCUGAUGCCAGUUUCCUCGUGAUGGGUGACUGUGCAGGGCGAAUGAUGGCUUCCCGUGAGCAUUGUUGCCUCAUGGUUGGUUGAAAAUUGAGUCCUUGGUAGGGAGCGCCGUGAUAGAUGGUGGUUGAGUGACGAACGAGACCCAAUCAUGUGAGACCCCUACCGAAUUUGGCCUUCAUGACCCACAUGCGUCUUUGGAACGCUCAUGACGAGACCUCAGGUCAGGCGGGGCUACCCGCUGAGUUUAAGCAUAUCAAUAAGCGGAGGA
This 400-nucleotide unclassified non-coding RNA is filed under the name soil metagenome. Its description in RNAcentral is "partial contains 5.8S ribosomal RNA, internal transcribed spacer 2, and large subunit ribosomal RNA". The stretch from base 1 to 122 matches the Rfam family "5.8S ribosomal RNA", at positions 35 to 154 of the family's 154-position model. The record is from RNAcentral.